GCUCCACAAAACUUGGCUCCAGCUCUGCCAGUUAGCCCUGUAAGGAGGAAAGAUUCAGAUGUUUCCAGAGUGAUGCUCCUUGUGAUGUUCCCAGCCUAACCACUCCAGAUUGGCAGUUCCAAGUUUUCCCCAGACAUGCUUCCUCUCCACCAGUGUGUGGGAGACCCAGGACUUCUCAGAGCUGUCUCUGAGCAAGAAUGACAGUUGGACUACAAGGAGAUCCUCGUGGGCCUGAGAGGGAACUUCACAGUCCACAUCAUGUCAUGAAAAGAAUCUGAAAGGAUCUAAAAGAAGAAAAACAAACUUCUUUCCCACAUGACUCCUACUCCUUCUUCCUUCAUAUUUUGUCUUUUUUUAAAAAAAACAAAAACAAAAGAAAGCGAUAUUAAUUAUAAAGAGCACACAAAUUGUCACAUGAAUGGGUAACUCUGGGAAAGGAAGACUUGUGGAAAUACUUGCUGUUUAGUUCUGAGAUGUUUCCAUUUACCUAGGCAGCGCUUAGACUAACAUUAUGAAAAAUUCUAUACAGGCAGCAUGUUUUGAAAUAUUAGAAAUAUUACCUCACUGGCCUUUAGCUUCCUCAGCUGUGAUAAAGACAGAACAGAAGGGUUUUCAGCAUCCUUUUUAGGGCUAAUGAGUCAUGAUUCCAUAAUAAUGAUGUGUUUUGCUUAGUUGUGCCAUUAUUUUAGAAAUGUCUUGCAAUCAAGUCAACAAACACUGAUUGAGUAAGCACUAACAGGGCAUAUAACUCAAAAGAGUACUUUUUUGUAGGAAACAAUUGUGUUCCUGAAAAUGGGCAUUUUAUUCGUAUAUAGUUUUAAAUAAAUCAACAUCCAUUUUAUAUAUACCAUGACUUUUCUACUUUCGAGAAUCCUGUGAUGAAGCUUUUGCAGGGCUUAUUUAUCUAAUAUGUCAAGUUCAAUUUUUUUUUGAAGAAAAAAGGUGCAUUCAUACUGGAUGCAUGUGUCACACUGAGUCUCAUUUUCUGGAGAAUGACACAGUUACCAAGAGAUUAUGUGGGCUGCUUGGAAAGCAAGGGCAGCAGCAGGACGCAGAUACCAACUCUGGAACUUGAGCCCACACCCCAGCGACGCUCGUGUCCUUCCCUGGUUCCACCCGGAGAAUGAAUGAAAUUAGCACCGUGAACACGCCGCCCAUGCUCAGCUUGAGACACCCGGCACCCUCUAGGCAGCGUGUCACUCAGAAAAUAGACAACCUUCUUCUGGAUGUUGUUGUCGUGUUGUGAUGGGCUCUGUCUGUUUGGCAACACCACAGCACUCCAGAUGUAUGUUUUCCA
Microcebus murinus (gray mouse lemur) is the source of this 1297-nucleotide non-coding RNA. Lineage: Eukaryota; Metazoa; Chordata; Mammalia; Primates; Cheirogaleidae. The record is from RefSeq and is a predicted model, not a curated record.